Molecule: ribosomal RNA, 546 nt
Filed under: uncultured bacterium
Lineage: Bacteria
Description: bacterial SSU rRNA
Rfam family: Bacterial small subunit ribosomal RNA
Source: RNAcentral
AAUAGAUACCCCGGUAGUCCAUGCCGUAAACGUUGGGCACUAGGUGUGGGGGACAUUCCACGUUUUCCGCGCCGUAGCUAACGCAUUAAGUGCCCCGCCUGGGGAGUACGGCCGCAAGGCUAAAACUCAAAGGAAUUGACGGGGGCCCGCACAAGCGGCGGAGCAUGCGGAUUAAUUCGAUGCAACGCGAAGAACCUUACCAAGGCUUGACAUGGACCGGAUCGCCGCAGAAAUGUGGUUUCUCCUUUUGGGGCCGGUUCACAGGUGGUGCAUGGUUGUCGUCAGCUCGUGUCGUGAGAUGUUGGGUUAAGUCCCGCAACGAGCGCAACCCUCGUUCCAUGUUGCCAGCGCGUAAUGGCGGGGACUCAUGGGAGACUGCCGGGGUCAACUCGGAGGAAGGUGGGGACGACGUCAAAUCAUCAUGCCCCUUAUGUCUUGGGCUUCACGCAUGCUACAAUGGCCGGUACAAAGGGUUGCGAUACUGUGAGGUGGAGCUAAUCCCAAAAAGCCGGUCUCAGUUCGGAUUGGGGUCUGCAACUCGACCCC